UGGGGAAUCUUAGACAAUGGGGGAAACCCUGAUCUAGCCAUGCCGCGUGAGUGACGAAGGCCUUAGGGUCGUAAAGCUCUUUCGCCAGGGCAGAUAAUGACGGUACCUGGUAAAGAAACCCCGGCUAACUCCGUGCCAGCAGCCGCGGUAAUACGGAGGGGGUUAGCGUUGUUCGGAAUUACUGGGCGUAAAGCGCGCGUAGGCGGACCAGUUAGUCAGAGGUGAAAUCCCGGGGCUCAACCCCGGAACUGCCUUUGAUACUGCUGGUCUUGAGUCCGAGAGAGGUGAGUGGAAUUCCGAGUGUAGAGGUGAAAUUCGUAGAUAUUCGGAGGAACACCAGUGGCGAAGGCGGCUCACUGGCUCGGUACUGACGCUGAGGUGCGAAAGCGUGGGGAGCAAACAGGAUUAGAUACCCCUGUAGUCC
Molecule: ribosomal RNA, 424 nt
Filed under: uncultured prokaryote
Description: bacterial SSU rRNA
Rfam family: Bacterial small subunit ribosomal RNA
Source: RNAcentral